RNAcentral lists this ribosomal RNA (274 nucleotides) under uncultured Staphylococcus sp. RNAcentral describes it as "partial 16S ribosomal RNA". It matches the Rfam family "Bacterial small subunit ribosomal RNA", at positions 89 to 355 of the family's 1533-position model. The record is from RNAcentral. Lineage: Bacteria; Bacillati; Bacillota; Bacilli; Caryophanales; Staphylococcaceae.
AUGUUAGCGGCGGACGGGUGAGUAACACGUGGGUAACCUACCUAUAAGACUGGGAUAACUCCGGGAAACCGGGGCUAAUACCGGAUAAUAUUUUGAACCGCAUGGUUCAAUAGUGAAAGACGGUCUCGGCUGUCACUUAUAGAUGGACCCGCGCCGUAUUAGCUAGUUGGUAAGGUAACGGCUUACCAAGGCGACGAUACGUAGCCGACCUGAGAGGGUGAUCGGCCACACUGGAACUGAGACACGGUCCAGACUCCUACGGGAGGCAGCAGUA